CUGGGAUUAUCUGCUCUGCUCAUUUUCUCGUCAGGAACGUUGGGUUGGGUUCCUUGUGGUUGUGUUUAUUGCCGGUUGUAUUUUACGAAAGACGUUUUGUGGAUUGGAGUACGUGACGUCGUGCAGGUUCGAAAUUGGCGUGAAGACCAAACCACAUUUAAAGCAAGAUUGUGAGAAAUAACAGAAGUGAAAAUUCUUAAGCCAGGAUCACAUGUCGAGAUACACAAGAAUGGAAUUUCCCCUUCCCAGAUUUGGCUUGUUGUGGACCAGGUGCGGCAUGAUGUUUACAAAGCAGGCAGUACAGUCAUUCAAGCGCCUCAGCGACGUGGUUGGUAUGGUUAGCGUCCCACCUCGGUGGUCGCGGGUUAGAUUCUCGGCCAUUCCUUUGAGGAGUGAGAGAUGUGUAUUUCUGGUGAUAGACGUUCACUCUCGACGUGGUUCAGAAGUCACGUAAAGCCGUUGGUCCCGUUGCUGAAUAACCACUGGUUCCAUGCAACGUAAAAGCACCAUACAAUUAAAGUACCGUCAUUCAAGGACUCCUGCUUUAGUUUCCUUUAUUUUCAAAAUGGUUUAAAAUGAGGUGAGAAUUGAGCCUGGCGUCGCAAAAGUUAUGCCUUAAGUUGUCAUGUAUUGGUGGUUCAUGUGUAAUAAGUUAUGUGGUUCUUUUAAUGUAGUACUAAAUUAUGCUCAUUUAAUGAGUUUUUAGUUCUCCAAAACUGUUUAGUUUUGUUAAACUCUGAAUUUAAUUUUAGCAACUUUAAAGCUGCUUUCUUGAAUAAGGUAGAAUUUAGUCUAGACAGACUUAUAAUAGUAGAGUGAAAUAAGCGCCUUUUUUCUCUCCCAAAUCAUGUGUAUCAUCACUUCGU
Macrobrachium nipponense is the source of this 866-nucleotide long non-coding RNA. RefSeq lists it as uncharacterized. NCBI's taxonomy places the organism in Eukaryota, Metazoa, Arthropoda, Malacostraca, Decapoda, Palaemonidae. The transcript has 3 exons. The record is from RefSeq and is a predicted model, not a curated record.